Long non-coding RNA from Ailuropoda melanoleuca (giant panda), 2027 nucleotides. RefSeq lists it as uncharacterized. The transcript has 4 exons. The record is from RefSeq and is a predicted model, not a curated record. NCBI's taxonomy places the organism in Eukaryota, Metazoa, Chordata, Mammalia, Carnivora, Ursidae.
GACUGGCUCUGAGGGUCUGGCUGCGUGAAUUCCAGUAGGCGUGCAACGGACGUCUGUCGUUUUCCCCUUUUAUCCUGGCUGUGACUUUUGGUCGGUUCUCUUUUCAGCCUUAUUUACCCCUACUGGCUUUAAAUGCAGACUGUUCACUAAAACACCCACCCAAGCUCAGGCGUCGGCUUUUCGUCCCCGGACUUUCCCGCCUCCACACUCCCCGGCGGCAUUGUAGCUGCUUGCGGUUACGGGAGACGUCUUCGCAAACUGCUCUCUGUAUAUUGGGGUCACGGGAGUGCUGGGUUAAAAGCAGUUGACUUGCUAAGAUAAGAAAACCAAGGCACAGAGAGAUGAAGUAACUUGUAUGAAGUCCAUCAGCAAGUGGUGGAAUCCCCAUCAGAACCCAAGCACUAGGUUCCAGAGCCACACCCCCUUAGCCACUACAGUAUACUGCCUCCCAUGAAAAAUGCCUCAAGUUCAUCAGGUUAAUCCUAAAGUGACCAAAACAAGGGAUGAACUUGACAAGUGCCAAAGAUGUUCUUUGGGCCUCCCUUUUGUGUGGCACGGAGCCUGAAACCUUCCAUCUGAGGCAUGAUGAUGAGAAUGGUGAAGACCAGGACUGAGAAGAAGUGGUCUGAGUAGGGAGACCAGGAUGAUGAACCAAAACUGCACUCAUCUGCCACAUUUACCUCCCCCCCAAUUAUUGGAAGAGCAGUAGAUAAGAAUUUUAACCAAGAGGGAAAACCGAUGAAGACCUUUGCAAAGGAAAACUACAUCCACAGAGCGGUGCUCUUGCCCUGAAAGGAAGGAUUUACUCCGGUUUGGAAGGAAGUAGAAUAAAUAGAACUGGAAGUGGCAAGGUCACCUUUAAUAUCAUAUGAACUGCCUCUUAACAAGCUUCACAAUUGCUUUGUUUCUUCCUCCCUCGGUUCUAUAAACAGGCCAAGUCAAAGCAAACUCUUAGAGCACACACAGUGCGUGGAGGAAGCUCCCAGAGCUGUGAGGAAGGGGAGGCUGCAGGCUCCGUGGGGCCUGUCCCGCACGCCAGGGUUACAAUUGUGUUAUGGUGUGGUGGCUAGAAAGGAAAACUGCUUGUUUUUAAAGGAAGGCGUUAUAUUGUCCUAAAUUCCUGUGUAUAAAAUAUAGGACAAACAAGUUACAGUGGGAAUCUUUAAUUCAACUAUGUGGAAUAUAUGGCAUAUUUGCCUUUCACUUGUCUUUGCCCUACUAAGUAUUGCAUGGUAAUUGCAUAAAUACAAAAAUGUAAUUUUAAAAACGCCUUUCCCUAGGACCCUGUUCAGUUGGUAUUCCUAACACAGUGCAAGCUCUUUACUGGCAUUCUGCUUCACAGAAAGAGUUUUCUUCUUUUCCAAGGUCCUUCAGGCACAGUCCCACCUCUCUGUUGUUUCUCAGCAUUUCUUUUUGAAUGUGUCCUUACAUACAAGGGGACGAAAGGGUAUCUAGGAUUACAGAAAAGGCACUAACAAUGUUGGGAUGCCAGAGGUUUGGGCAACAGACAGGACUGGGAUUUUGGUGUCCUGGCUUUCAGUAAUUCUUCAGUAGUCCAAUGUAGAACUCAUCUUGGAAGACCAUGUGGGUGAGUAGUACUGUCAUUAUCAAAACAAAACAACAAUUCGUGUUGGGGCUUUGAAUCUAAGGUAACCUCACAUGGCUUAAAUACGGAUUGUCAGAGAGAGCAUGAACCAAACAAAACUGAGUUGGUACUUUGUAAAUUGUUACCCCCUGUAGAGAUUCUCCGCAUUUGCCAAGGCGUCUAGGAAAACCUCCCUCAUAUUUUUGAAAGUGCAAUAGAGCUAUGGAGUAUUGUAAUUAUGAAAAAGUGUGAUUAAAAGAAUAUAAAAAAGAUACAAUAAAAGUCUCUAAGGGGUAGAAAGAGAAACCUGGAGGGCAGUCUCUGUCUAAUCUGAAUUUUGGCCAUUUCUUUACAAUUUCAGGAUGAUACGAAUUCUUGGCAUUACAGAUAAUGGGUCAGAGCUGACCUAUUGUGGAAACUCCUAGAUGGAGCUAGAGCUAUG